UGGGGAAUAUUGGACAAUGGGCGAAAGCCUGAUCCAGCCAUGCCGCGUGUGUGAAGAAGGUCUUCGGAUUGUAAAGCACUUUAAGUUGGGAGGAAGGGCAGUAAGCGAAUACCUUGCUGUUUUGACGUUACCGACAGAAUAAGCACCGGCUAACUCUGUGCCAGCAGCCGCGGUAAUACAGAGGGUGCAAGCGUUAAUCGGAAUUACUGGGCGUAAAGCGAGCGUAGGUGGUUCGUUAAGUUGAAUGUGAAAGCCCCGGGCUCAACCUGGGAACUGCAUCCAAAACUGGCGAGCUAGAGUAGGGCAGAGGGUGGUGGAAUUUCCUGUGUAGCGGUGAAAUGCGUAUAUAUAGGAAGGAACACCAGUGGCGAAGGCGACCACCUGGGCUCAUACUGACACUGAGGUGCGAAAGCGUGGGGAGCAAACAGG
RNAcentral lists this ribosomal RNA (429 nucleotides) under Pseudomonadota bacterium. Its description in RNAcentral is "Proteobacteria bacterium partial 16S ribosomal RNA". It matches the Rfam family "Bacterial small subunit ribosomal RNA", at positions 355 to 776 of the family's 1533-position model. The record is from RNAcentral. Lineage: Bacteria; Pseudomonadati; Pseudomonadota.